Molecule: ribosomal RNA, 496 nt
Filed under: uncultured bacterium
Lineage: Bacteria
Description: partial 16S ribosomal RNA
Rfam family: Bacterial small subunit ribosomal RNA
Source: RNAcentral
AUUGAACGCUGGCGGAAUGCUUUACACAUGCAAGUCGAACGGUAGAGGGGGCAACCCCUCGAGAGUGGCGAACGGGUGAGUAAUACAUCGGAACGUGCCCAGUCGUGGGGGAUAACGUAGCGAAAGUUACGCUAAUACCGCAUACGAUCUCAGGAUGAAAGCGGGGGACCGUAAGGCCUCGCGCGAUUGGAGCGGCCGAUGUCAGAUUAGGUAGUUGGUGAGGUAAAGGCUCACCAAGCCUGCGAUCUGUAGCUGGUCUGAGAGGACGACCAGCCACACUGGGACUGAGACACGGCCCAGACUCCUACGGGAGGCAGCAGUGGGGAAUUUUGGACAAUGGGCGCAAGCCUGAUCCAGCCAUUCCGCGUGCAGGACGAAGGCCUUCGGGUUGUAAACUGCUUUUGUACGGAACGAAAAGCCUUGGGCUAAUACCCCGAGGUCAUGACGGUACCGUAAGAAUAAGCACCGGCUAACUACGUGCCAGCCGCCGCCGUAA